GAUGAUGGGUAGCCGAUCUAAGAGGAUAAUCGGCCACACUGGAACUGGAACACGGUCCAGACUCCUACGGGAGGCAGCAGUGGGGAAUAUUGCGCAAUGGGCGANAGCCUGACGCAGCGACGCCGCGUGAGGGAUGAAGGUCUUUGGAUCGUAAACCUCUGUCAGGGGGGAAGAAAUGGAUAGGCUCUAAUAGGGUCUAUUUUUGACGGUACCCCCAGAGGAAGCACCGGCUAACUCCGUGCCAGCAGCCGCGGUAAUACGGAGGGUGCAAGCNUUAAUCGGAAUUACUGGGCGUAAAGCGCGCGUAGGUGGUUAUAUAAGUCAGGGGUGAAAGCCCACCGCUUAACGGUGGAACAGCCUUUGAUACUGUAUAACUUGAGUAUCGGAGAGGGUGGCGGAAUUCCAGGUGUAGGGGUGAAAUCCGUAGAUAUCUGGAGGAACACCAGUGGCGAAGGCGGCCACCUGGACGAUAACUGACACUGAGGUGCGAAAGCGUGGGGA
Molecule: ribosomal RNA, 501 nt
Filed under: Desulfovibrio sp.
Lineage: Bacteria; Pseudomonadati; Thermodesulfobacteriota; Desulfovibrionia; Desulfovibrionales; Desulfovibrionaceae
Description: bacterial SSU rRNA
Rfam family: Bacterial small subunit ribosomal RNA
Source: RNAcentral